CGAAUAUUGCGUAGGCCUUUGCUUCGAAAGAAAUUCUCAAAAUGUUCGCAGCAAUUUCCUCCGCAAUAUUUU
RNAcentral lists this microRNA precursor (72 nucleotides) under Caenorhabditis japonica. RNAcentral describes it as "pre miRNA CJA48639". It matches the Rfam family "mir-242 microRNA precursor family", at positions 5 to 73 of the family's 77-position model. The record is from RNAcentral. Lineage: Eukaryota; Metazoa; Nematoda; Chromadorea; Rhabditida; Rhabditidae.